Molecule: ribosomal RNA, 467 nt
Filed under: uncultured bacterium
Lineage: Bacteria
Description: partial 16S ribosomal RNA
Rfam family: Bacterial small subunit ribosomal RNA
Source: RNAcentral
ACGAACGCUGGCGGCGUGCUUAACACAUGCAAGUCGAACGGAAAGGCCCUGCUUUUGUGGGGUGCUCGAGUGGCGAACGGGUGAGUAACACGUGAGUAACCUGCCCUUGACUUUGGGAUAACUUCAGGAAACUGGGGCUAAUACCGGAUAGGAGCUCCUGCUGCAUGGGGGGGGUUGGAAAGUUUCGGCGGUUGGGGAUGGACUCGCGGCUUAUCAGCUUGUUGGUGGGGUAGUGGCUUACCAAGGCUUUGACGGGUAGCCGGCCUGAGAGGGUGACCGGCCACAUUGGGACUGAGAUACGGCCCAGACUCCUACGGGAGGCAGCAGUGGGGAAUAUUGCACAAUGGGCGGAAGCCUGAUGCAGCAACGCCGCGUGCGGGAUGACGGCCUUCGGGUUGUAACCCGCUUUCGCCUGUGACGAAGCGUGAGUGACGGUAAUGGGUAAAGAAGCACCAGCUAACUACGUG